This 884-nucleotide ribosomal RNA is filed under the name uncultured bacterium. RNAcentral's name for it is "bacterial SSU rRNA". It matches the Rfam family "Bacterial small subunit ribosomal RNA", at positions 109 to 994 of the family's 1533-position model. The record is from RNAcentral.
CGUAACGCGUAUAGAACCUACCUUUUACUGGAGAAUAGCCCAGAGAAAUUUGGAUUAAUGCUCCAUAGUAUCAUUUUUUGGCAUCCUUAGAUGAUUAAAGAUUUAUCGGUAAAAGAUGGCUAUGCGUUCUAUUAGCUAGUUGGUAUGGUAACGGCAUACCAAGGCGACGAUAGAUAGGGGUCCUGAGAGGGAGAUCCCCCACACUGGUACUGAGACACGGACCAGACUCCUACGGGAGGCAGCAGUGAGGAAUAUUGGACAAUGGAGGCAACUCUGAUCCAGCCAUGCCGCGUGUAGGAAGACUGCCCUAUGGGUUGUAAACUACUUUUAUAGAGGAAGAAACCGCUCUACGUGUAGAGCUCUGACGGUACUCUACGAAUAAGGAUCGGCUAACUCCGUGCCAGCAGCCGCGGUAAUACGGAGGAUCCAAGCGUUAUCCGGAAUCAUUGGGUUUAAAGGGUCCGUAGGCGGGUUUGUAAGUCAGUGGUGAAAGUUUUCGGCUCAACCGGAAAAUUGCUAUUGAUACUGCAAGUCUUGAAUCGUUGUGAAGUGGUUAGAAUGUGUAGUGUAGCGGUGAAAUGCAUAGAUAUUACACAGAAUACCGAUUGCGAAGGCAGAUCACUAACAAUGUAUUGACGCUAAGGGACGAAAGCGUGGGUAGCGAACAGGAUUAGAUGCCCUGGUAGUCCACGCCGUAAACGAUGGUUACUAGCUGUUCGGAUUUCGGUCUGAGUGGCUAAGCGAAAGUGAUAAGUAACCCACCUGGGGAGUACGUUCGCAAGAAUGAAACUCAAAGGAAUUGACGGGGGCCCGCACAAGCGGUGGAGCAUGUGGUUUAAUUCGAUGAUACGCGAGGAACCUUACCAGGGCUUAAAUGUAGAUUG